UGGGCAACCUGCCCCAGACUCAGGGAUAACCCCCGGGGAAACCGGGGCUAAUACCCGAUACUCCGAUCGAACCACAUGGCUCGAUCGGGAAAGCUCCGACGGUCUGGGAUGGGCCCGCGGCCUAUCAGCUUGUUGGUGGGGUAAUGGCCUACCAAGGCGACGACGGGUAGCCGGCCUGAGAGGGCGACCGGCCACACUGGGACUGAGACACGGCCCAGACUCCUACGGGAA
RNAcentral lists this ribosomal RNA (231 nucleotides) under uncultured bacterium. RNAcentral's name for it is "partial 16S ribosomal RNA". It matches the Rfam family "Bacterial small subunit ribosomal RNA", at positions 118 to 347 of the family's 1533-position model. The record is from RNAcentral.